Gossypium arboreum is the source of this 231-nucleotide long non-coding RNA. RefSeq lists it as uncharacterized. Lineage: Eukaryota; Viridiplantae; Streptophyta; Magnoliopsida; Malvales; Malvaceae. The transcript has 2 exons. The record is from RefSeq and is a predicted model, not a curated record.
AACUCAAGUUUGAACAAGAAAGAAAAAGAAAAGGUUAUAAUUACUUCUACCAAGAUGAAAUUGAAGCCCUGGGCUUAGGGCCUAAAGGACGAGCUUACUUGUUGCUAUUGGUGAGCAUGAAUCAUCUUAUUGUGGAGACCACCGGUGGGCGAAUUUUUUAUUGAGUGUUGUGAAUUAGAACCAACCUUUUGUGAAUUAGUUCUUUUGUUAAUAAAAUUCACUGUUAAACAA